AGAGUUUGAUCCUGGCUCAGGAUGAACGCUAGCUACAGGCUUAACACAUGCAAGUCGAGGGGCAGCAUGGUCUUAGCUUGCUAAGACUGAUGGCGACCGGCGCACGGGUGAGUAACACGUAUCCAACCUGCCUUAUACUCCCGGACAGCCUUCUGAAAGGAAGAUUAAUACGGGAUGGCAUCACGAGCCAGCAUUUUCUCGUGAUUAAAGAAUUUCGGUAUAAGAUGGGGAUGCGUUCCAUUAGAUAGUAGGCGGGGUAACGGCCCACCUAGUCGACGAUGGAUAGGGGUUCUGAGAGGAAGGUCCCCCACAUUGGAACUGAGACACGGUCCAAACUCCUACGGGAGGCAGCAGUGAGGAAUAUUGGUCAAUGGGCGCGAGCCUGAACCAGCCAAGUAGCGUGAAGGAUGACUGCCCUACGGGUUGUAAACUUCUUUUAUAAAGGAAUAAAGUGAGGCACGUGUGCCUUUUUGUAUGUACUUUAUGAAUAAGGAUCGGCUAACUCCGUGCCAGCAGCCGCGGUAAUACGGAGGAUCCGAGCGUUAUCCGGAUUUAUUGGGUUUAAAGGGAGCGUAGAUGGGUUGUUAAGUCAGUUGUGAAAGUUUGCGGCUCAACCGUAAAAUUGCAAUUGAUACUGGCAGCCUUGAGUACAGUUGAGGUAGGCGGAAUUCGUGGUGUAGCGGUGAAAUGCUUAGAUAUCACGAAGAACUCCGAUUGCGAAGGCAGCCUACUAAACUGCCACUGACAUUGAUGCUCGAAAGUGUGGGUAUCAAACAGGAUUAGAUACCCUGGUAGUCCACACGGUAAACGAUGAAUACUCGCUGUUUGCGAUUAUACAGCCAAAGCGGCCAAAGCGAAAGCGUUAAGUAUUCCACCUGGGGAGUACGCCGGCAACGGUGAAACUCAAAGGAAUUGACGGGGGCCCGCACAAGCGGAGGAACAUGUGGUUUAAUUCGAUGAUACGCGAGGAACCUUACCCGGGCUUGAAUUGCACUCGAAUAUAGCGGAAACGUUAUAGCUAGCAAUAGCGAGUGUGAAGGUGCUGCAUGGUUGUCGUCAGCUCGUGCCGUGAGGUGUCGGCUUAAGUGCCAUAACGAGCGCAACCCCUCUCCUUAGUUGCCAUCAGGUGAAGCUGGGCACUCUGGGGACACUGCCACCGUAAGGUGUGAGGAAGGUGGGGAUGACGUCAAAUCAGCACGGCCCUUACGUCCGGGGCUACACACGUGUUACAAUGGCAGGUACAGAGAGAUGGUGUUCUGCAAAGCGCAUCUAAUCCUUAAAGCCUGUCUCAGUUCGGACUGGGGUCUGCAACCCGACCCCACGAAGCUGGAUUCGCUAGUAAUCGCGCAUCAGCCAUGGCGCGGUGAAUACGUUCCCGGGCCUUGUACACACCGCCCGUCA
This 1401-nucleotide ribosomal RNA is filed under the name uncultured bacterium. RNAcentral's name for it is "16S ribosomal RNA". It matches the Rfam family "Bacterial small subunit ribosomal RNA". The record is from RNAcentral.